CUGUACAGUACGUACCUGUACAGUGACGACAACGCCUUAAUCUCAACGUGGCCGGCGGUUUCCUGGCGAAAAACUGAUGUAAGGAAAAUCUAAGCAACACAACAAAUGGCGCUGUAGGUGUGGGAAAACAAUCCGCCCCUGUCAUCUGUGUUGAUGCUCCAUGAAAGGAAUUGAACGGCCGUGCCAACGUCUCGCCACCAACGACUACCAGCCAACAGACGCCAGUGCUGCAUCGUUCCACGACCGCCAAACGGCCGAUGCCACCCAGAACACUUCUCCCCAGCUGCAGUCAGGUGGGAAUGGAUCAGGCUGUAUAUUUCUGCCAGUUCGUGUCUCCUUCACAGCAUCAGCAGCAUCUCUGGCCAACGACCCUGAGGAAAAGACAUUGGAGAGACGCAGACCAGAGGCAAACCGCUUUGCUGUACUUGCCAAAAUACUGGAGUAAAGCGUUAACCUGAGGAGGGCUUUGUGCAAGUAGAAACCUGGCUGUGUUCCAGAACUGUGUGUGGAUGACAGUGAAUCGUUCAAGGCUACAGUGGCCUGAUCUGUCCAAACAAUUCCUCUGCAGACAGGUUAAGUGACAUCGAUCUGGUAUUCAGGUCAUAUUUCAUCCCGUAGAACAAUAUUCUUAAUUAACAUAGAUCUGCUAUUAUGGAUUAAGCUAUGCUCUAAGAAAGAGGGGUGAAAAAGUGUGGAGACAAAAAACCCACCUGCCCCACAAGUCAAGGUCGCUACUCCUUGUUUGAUUCUCCUCGCCUUGUUAGUCUUAAUCAAAUUCCAUGUUUUAUAAUGAAAAUAAUGCAAAUUUUCAAUUUCAAUUCCGGUGAUCAAAUAGGCCUCCGCAGCAAUUGUCUUUUCAUUAAAGAAAUCACUGAUCAUUAAUGAAGUAUUUUCACUACUUUACAUAAAGUUACAAGCGGGGACGUGGAAAUGGGAAGCAGAUCAAACGGUCUGUCUCUAAUUGAAGUGCAGAGCACCCCCCCCCGCUCCUCCUCCCAGUCAGGCUCUGACGGAUAGUCGACUAAACUCCCGGCACCUUUCCUCACACCAUGGAACCAUUGCUUGCCACUCUCCCGCUCUUUAUUUGCCUCUCUCGCUUUCUCCUUCUCUCUCCGCUGUCUGU
This is a long non-coding RNA of Esox lucius (northern pike), 1123 nucleotides long. RefSeq lists it as uncharacterized. The transcript is spliced from 3 exons. NCBI's taxonomy places the organism in Eukaryota, Metazoa, Chordata, Actinopteri, Esociformes, Esocidae. The record is from RefSeq and is a predicted model, not a curated record.